Molecule: ribosomal RNA, 305 nt
Filed under: uncultured bacterium
Lineage: Bacteria
Description: bacterial SSU rRNA
Rfam family: Bacterial small subunit ribosomal RNA
Source: RNAcentral
UGUUUCCUACGGGACGCAGCAGUGGGGAAUAUUGCACAAUGGGGGAAACCCUGAUGCAGCGAUGCCGCGUGGAGGAAGAAGGUUUUCGGAUUGUAAACUCCUUUUAUCAGGGACGAUAAUGACGGUACCUGAAGAAAAAGCUCCGGCUAACUACGUGCCAGCAGCCGCGGUAAUACGUAGGGAGGGAGCGUUGUCCGGAAUUACUGGGUGUAAAGGGAGCGUAGGCGGGACGGCAAGUCAGAUGUGAAAACUGAGGGCGCAACCUUCAGACUGCAUUUGAAACUGCUGUUCUUGAGUGAAGUAGG